CAAUGUUCAGUAAGAUGUUGACUGAUUUGUUGUUUGUGGCUGAAGGUGAUCUGACGUCUCUCAGUGUUUGACCAGCUCAUGCUUUCAUCUCAUUCAUCAGAACAGACAAAGAUCCGUGCAUCAGUUUCUGUCUGGAUCAGAGAAUCCAAGUCGUCGAUUCGUCAUUCGUCAUCGUAAGACGAGUCAGAUGUGAAAUUGUGAUAAUGUCCUUGUGGAUCUCUUCUGUGUUUGUUGCCAUCAGUGUUCGAGUCAUCAUCUUGCUGCUGCUCUUGUUUUUCUCAUUACUAGUGUCUCUGAUGAAAUAUGUGUGAACAUUUUCUGUGGACUCUGAGAAAAGCUAUUUAAUUUGUUUUCUGUGAAGAGCCUAACAAAGUAUUUGGACCUUGAGAGAUGAUGACGCUGGAAACACAUUCAGAAGAGGAGAUUCACAUACAUGUGUGUUUGUCAUCACUGUCCACACAAACUCUCGAUGCCCAUAAUAGAGAAAGAUUAGAUGGUGUUCAGCCAUCAGGAGAGAUGCUGUCUAACAUCCUGAAAAACCCUUCAGUAAUCAGUAAAACAUGGGGUUUGAGAAAUGAAUGAAUAAAUGUGCAUUAAAAACACGAGUUAAAAUGUACAUUGAAAAUGAAUACAUUUAAUUUAAAUAAAUACA
Long non-coding RNA from Carassius gibelio (silver crucian carp), 652 nucleotides. RefSeq lists it as uncharacterized. Lineage: Eukaryota; Metazoa; Chordata; Actinopteri; Cypriniformes; Cyprinidae. The transcript is spliced from 3 exons. The record is from RefSeq and is a predicted model, not a curated record.